This 373-nucleotide ribosomal RNA is filed under the name uncultured organism. Its description in RNAcentral is "bacterial SSU rRNA". It matches the Rfam family "Bacterial small subunit ribosomal RNA", at positions 526 to 896 of the family's 1533-position model. The record is from RNAcentral.
CGUAGGGUGCGAGCGUUAAUCGGAAUUACUGGGCGUAAAGCGUGCGCAGGCGGUUUUGUAAGCCAGAUGUGAAAUCCCCGGGCUCAACCUGGGAAUGGCAUUUGGGACUGCAAGGCUUGAGUGCGGCAGAGGAGACUGGAAUUCCCGGUGUAGCAGUGAAAUGCGUAGAUAUCGGGAGGAAUACCGAUGGCGAAGGCAGGUCUCUGGGCUGACACUGACGCUCAUGCACGAAAGCGUGGGGGAGCAAACAGGAUUAGAUACCCUGGUAGUCCACGCCCUAAACGAUGUCGACUGGUUGUUGGGGGUUUGACACUCUCAGUAACGAAGCUAACGCGUGAAGUCGACCGCCUGGGGAGUACGGCCGCAAAGGUUA